Molecule: ribosomal RNA, 375 nt
Filed under: uncultured prokaryote
Description: bacterial SSU rRNA
Rfam family: Bacterial small subunit ribosomal RNA
Source: RNAcentral
UACAGAGGUCCCAAGCGUUGUUCGGAUUUACUGGGCGUAAAGCGUGCGUAGGUGGCGAGGCAAGUAUCGUGUGAAAUCCCCGGGCUCAACCCGGGAACUGCACGGUAGACUGCUUUGCUAGAGGGUCGGAGGGGAGUCUGGAAUUCCCGGUGUAGCAGUGAAAUGCGUAGAUAUCGGGAGGAACACCAGUGGCGAAGGCGAGACUCUGGACGACACCUGACACUGAGGCUACGAAGGCCAGGGGAGCAAACGGGAUUAGAUACCCCGGUAGUCCUGGCAGUAAACGGUGCAUGUUUGCUGUGGGCGGAUUCGACCCCGUCCGUGGCGGAGCUAACGCGUUAAACAUGCCGCCUGGGGAGUACGGUCGCAAGAUUA